GACGAACGCUGGCGGCGUGCUUAACACAUGCAAGUCGAACGGUGAAGCGCCUUCCUUUUUGGUGGGUGUGGAUGAGUGGCGAACGGGUGAGUAACACGUGAGUAACCUGCCCCCUUCUUCUGGAUAACCGCAUGAAAGUGUGGCUAAUACGGGAUAUUCUGGGUCUGUCGCAUGAUGGGUCUGGGAAAGAUAUUGUUUCGGUGGGGGAUGGGCUCGCGGCCUAUCAGCUUGUUGGUGGGGUGAUGGCCUACCAAGGCGGUGACGGGUAGCCGGCCUGAGAGGGUGGACGGGCACACGGGGACUGAGACACGGCCCAGACUCCUACGGGAGGCAGCAGUGGGGAAUAUUGCACAAUGGGCGCAAGCCUGAUGCAGCGACGCCGCGUGAGGGGUGGAGGCCUUCGGGUUGUGAACCUCUUUCGCCAGUGAAGCAGGCCUGCCUCGUUUGUGGGUGGGUUGACGGUAGCUGGAGAAGAAGCGCCGGCUAACUACGUG
RNAcentral lists this ribosomal RNA (494 nucleotides) under uncultured bacterium. Its description in RNAcentral is "partial 16S ribosomal RNA". It matches the Rfam family "Bacterial small subunit ribosomal RNA", at positions 28 to 507 of the family's 1533-position model. The record is from RNAcentral.